CUAUAGGCUUUAAUAAUGAUUCGUUUCACUGCACUCACAGAACUCCUCCUCCUCGCUAAAUAUCAGCGCGGUUGUUCUGUGGGCGAAAACGAAUAAAGAUUAAAGCCUGAAAGAACUGAAAAACCCGCGCCGAACAGCGCGGGUUUUUUU
This is a regulatory RNA element of 150 nucleotides. It matches the Rfam family "Leucine operon leader". From Rfam's summary of the family: At least 6 amino acid operons are known to be regulated by attenuation. The record is from Rfam.